GGGGGCGACUGGUUUCGACAUGGUAUGUUUGAACUGAGGAGCAGGUCGUGGUCUCCUCGCCACGUUAAACAGGGGUACCGUCAAGUUAAUUGGCAAGAACAACUCUCAGAGCGCUCCGGCGCUCGCCAUGGCUGCCUAAACAGCACCUGGCACGUCAACUCCGGGUUGUCCCCGGCUCGGACGUGACGUCAUUUUAGGGGACUGCAUCGAAGCACGUGGACGGUAUGGCUUCGAUAAAGAUCGAACCGACUAGGAACCCUAACGUGUGCCCGUUGACCGACGGGUUCCGAAUUCCGAUAAUGGGAUAAGCUUGUAGAGCCUGAGGGAUAAUAUAGUAUGGACCGGAGUUCGAUUCUCCGCGCCUCCACCA
This 370-nucleotide transfer-messenger RNA is filed under the name Senegalimassilia sp. It matches the Rfam family "transfer-messenger RNA". From Rfam's summary of the family: Bacterial tmRNA, also known as 10Sa RNA or SsrA, is named for its dual tRNA and mRNA-like properties. Its role is to liberate the mRNA from a stalled ribosome. The record is from RNAcentral. Lineage: Bacteria; Bacillati; Actinomycetota; Coriobacteriia; Coriobacteriales; Coriobacteriaceae.